Molecule: ribosomal RNA, 1370 nt
Filed under: uncultured bacterium
Lineage: Bacteria
Description: bacterial SSU rRNA
Rfam family: Bacterial small subunit ribosomal RNA
Source: RNAcentral
AGAGUUUGAUCCUGGCUCAGGACGAACGCUGGCGGCGCGCCUAACACAUGCAAGUCGAACGAGCGAGAGAGAGCUUGCUUUCUCGAGCGAGUGGCGAACGGGUGAGUAACGCGUGAGGAACCUGCCUCAAAGAGGGGGACAACAGUUGGAAACGACUGCUAAUACCGCAUAAGCCCACGGGUCGGCAUCGACCAGAGGGAAAAGGAGCAAUCCGCUUUGAGAUGGCCUCGCGUCCGAUUAGCUAGUUGGUGAGGUAAUGGCCCACCAAGGCAACGAUCGGUAGCCGGACUGAGAGGUUGAACGGCCACAUUGGGACUGAGACACGGCCCAGACUCCUACGGGAGGCAGCAGUGGGGAAUAUUGCACAAUGGGGGAAACCCUGAUGCAGCGACGCCGCGUGGAGGAAGAAGGUCUUCGGAUUGUAAACUCCUGUUGCUGGGGAAGAUAAUGACGGUACCCAACAAGGAAGUGACGGCUAACUACGUGCCAGCAGCCGCGGUAAAACGUAGGUCACAAGCGUUGUCCGGAAUUACUGGGUGUAAAGGGAGCGCAGGCGGGAAGACAAGUUGGAAGUGAAAUCUAUGGGCUCAACCCAUAAACUGCUUUCAAAACUGUUUUUCUUGAGUAGUGCAGAGGUAGGCGGAAUUCCCGGUGUAGCGGUGGAAUGCGUAGAUAUCGGGAGGAACACCAGUGGCGAAGGCGGCCUACUGGGCACCAACUGACGCUGAGGCUCGAAAGUGUGGGUAGCAAACAGGAUUAGAUACCCUGGUAGUCCACACCGUAAACGAUGAUUACUAGGUGUUGGAGGAUUGACCCCUUCAGUGCCGCAGUUAACACAAUAAGUAAUCCACCUGGGGAGUACGACCGCAAGGUUGAAACUCAAAGGAAUUGACGGGGGCCCGCACAAGCAGUGGAGUAUGUGGUUUAAUUCGACGCAACGCGAAGAACCUUACCAAGUCUUGACAUCCCUUGACAGGCAUAGAAAUAUGUUUUCUCUUCGGAGCAAGGAGACAGGUGGUGCAUGGUUGUCGUCAGCUCGUGUCGUGAGAUGUUGGGUUAAGUCCCGCAACGAGCGCAACCCUUAUGGUCAGUUACUACGCAAGAGGACUCUGGCCAGACUGCCGUUGACAAAACGGAGGAAGGUGGGGAUGACGUCAAAUCAUCAUGCCCUUUAUGACUUGGGCUACACACGUACUACAAUGGCGUUAAACAAAGAGAAGCAAGACCGCGAGGUGGAGCAAAACUCAGAAACAACGUCCCAGUUCGGACUGCAGGCUGCAACUCGCCUGCACGAAGUCGGAAUUGCUAGUAAUCGUGGAUCAGCAUGCCACGGUGAAUACGUUCCCGGGCCUUGUACACACCGCCCGUCA